CCUCAUCACCAGGAUUUCCUGUAACUAUUACCCAGUAAUUCUUGUCUUCUUCAACUCGAUGGGAGUCCAGGAACGGGAAAUCCUUCAUAUUCAAGACGCAGUUGUGGAUCCAAGAAGUUUGCUUGCCAGCACGUCAAAUAGGAAAGCUCAUCUGUCAAAAAUACUUGUUGAAGCAAAAUUCAUUGCACAUCUCUCAGAAUAAGAUACCAAAAGCUGACGUCACUGAAAACCUAAGAAACUAUGAAAAAGAAUCAUAGAACGGCUUGGGUUGGAAGGGACCUCAAGGAUCAUCAAGCUUCAACCUUUCAACCUCCCCAC
Molecule: non-coding RNA, 318 nt
Organism: Meleagris gallopavo (turkey)
Lineage: Eukaryota; Metazoa; Chordata; Aves; Galliformes; Phasianidae
Source: RefSeq, a predicted model, not a curated record